CAGCCGCCGCGGGAAUACGAAGGGGGCUAGCGUUGCUCGGAAUGACUGGGCGUAAGGGGCGCGUAGGCGGUUCACGCAGUCAGAUGUGAAAUUCCUGGGCUCAACCUGGGGGCUGCAUUUGAUACGCGUGGGCUAGAGUGGGGAAGAGGGUCGUGGAAUUCCCAGUGUAGAGGUGAAAUUCGUAGAUAUUGGGAAGAACACCGGUGGCGAAGGCGGCGACCUGGUCCUUGACUGACGCUGAGGCGCGAAAGCGUGGGGAGCAAACAGGAUUAGAUACCCCCGUAGUCCCUGUCUCUUAUAC
RNAcentral lists this ribosomal RNA (301 nucleotides) under uncultured bacterium. RNAcentral describes it as "partial 16S ribosomal RNA". It matches the Rfam family "Bacterial small subunit ribosomal RNA", at positions 509 to 807 of the family's 1533-position model. The record is from RNAcentral.